This 468-nucleotide ribosomal RNA is filed under the name uncultured bacterium. RNAcentral describes it as "partial 16S ribosomal RNA". It matches the Rfam family "Bacterial small subunit ribosomal RNA", at positions 28 to 523 of the family's 1533-position model. The record is from RNAcentral.
GAUGAACGCUGGCGGCGUGCCUAACACAUGCAAGUCGAGCGAUUCCCUUCGGAGAAGAGCGGCGGACGGGUGAGUAACGCGUGGGUAACCUGCCCUGUACACACGGAUAACAUACCGAAAGGUAUGCUAAUACGAGAUAAUAUACUUUUAUCGCAUGGUAGAAGUAUCAAAGCUUUUGCGGUACAGGAUGGACCCGCGUCUGGUUAGCUAGUUGGUAAGGUAACGGCGUACCAAGGCGACGAUCAGUAGCCGACCUGAGAGGGUGAUCGGCCACGAUCGAACUGAGCCACGGUCCGAACUCCGACGGGAGGCAGCAGUGGUGAAUAUCGCACAAUGGGCGAAAGCCUGAUGCAGCAACGCCGCGGGAGAGAUGAAGGCCUUCGGGUCGUACAGCUCUGUCCUCAAGGAAGAUAAUGACGGUACUUGAGGAGGAAGCCCCGGUUAACUACGUGCCAGCCGCCGCGGUAA